This is a long non-coding RNA of Perognathus longimembris pacificus (Pacific pocket mouse), 561 nucleotides long. RefSeq lists it as uncharacterized. NCBI's taxonomy places the organism in Eukaryota, Metazoa, Chordata, Mammalia, Rodentia, Heteromyidae. The transcript has 3 exons. The record is from RefSeq and is a predicted model, not a curated record.
UCUAGGAGAUUUAUAGUUUCAUAUAUGCAAAAUGCUUAAGUCCCAGAAUGUGUUUACAUGCUCCUCAGGCACCUCUGCUCUGUGCUUCACUUUUCUAAGUAUAAUGCAAGUUUCAGAGAAUAGAUGGUGCCUCUCCUUGAUAUCUGUCAAGGAACUGCUGUGCCCAACUGUGUGAGGACAGUUUGAGAAAAGCUGGGUAACAAAAUCCAAUUCAUAAAUUACUCAUCAAAUAGAUUAAAUGAUUAAAUUUAAAUGAAGUUCUAUUACAAAGAGAGACAGUAAAGUCUGAGGGCACAAGGAAAUCAGGGAGCACCCUAGAUGCUGGGUAGUAUGUUGAAGCACUGGCCAGAUCCAAGUCUCCACUAGCUAGCACUGAGUACUCACUGUUGCUAAAAGUCAUGACCUUUGGCUUCUCCAGUUCAAUAAAUGGAAUUAAUAAAUAAAAGCAUUUGUUUUGGAAAAUAGGAUUUAAGAUAUUUCAGGAAUAAAACAUGGGAAAAACUGAGCUGGCCCUGUGGAAAUGCAAUGGAGUUAGGGUCCUCUGGUACAGGAUAGGACUAG